UAACACAUGCAAGUCGAACGAGAACGGAUUUUAGUUUACUAAAAUUGUCAGCUAAGUGGCGCACGGGUGAGUAAUAUAUAGUUAACCUGCCCCAAAGAAGAGAAUAAUUGAUGGAAACGUCUUGUAACUCUCUAUAUGCCUUUAUCACAUAAGUGAGCAAGGGAAACAUUUAUGGCUUUGGGAUGGGACUGUACGGUAUCAGAUAGUUGGUGAGGUAAUGGCUCACCAAGUCAAUGACGCUUAACUGGUUUGAGAGGAUGAUCAGUCACACUGGAACUGAGACACGGUCCAGACUCCUACGGGAGGCAGCAGUGGGGAAUAUUGCACAAUGGAGGAAACUCUGAUGCAGCAACGCCGCGUGGAGGAUGACACAUUUCGGUGCGUAAACUCCUUUUAUAUAAGAAGAUAAUGACGGUAUUAUAUGAAUAAGCACCGGCUAACUCCGUGCCAGCAGCCGCGGUAAUACGGGGGGUGCAAGCGUUACUCGGAAUCACUGGGCGUAAAGAGCAUGUAGGCU
RNAcentral lists this ribosomal RNA (517 nucleotides) under uncultured bacterium. RNAcentral's name for it is "bacterial SSU rRNA". It matches the Rfam family "Bacterial small subunit ribosomal RNA", at positions 49 to 577 of the family's 1533-position model. The record is from RNAcentral.